UUCUACCUUCACAUUUAAUAAAUUGAGUUGACUGAUCAUCUGAGUUUGUUCUGGUAGAGUAGGCAGCAAGACUCAACCCGUUUAGAUGAAGUGACACUAUUUCUUCUUCUUUUAACCAAUGGUCUGUGGGAUACAGAAUCUGGAAUUCCUUGUCUACAAUAAACAUUUCAAGCUCAUUAAUUUUUUUUAUCAGAAAUUGUACAUUACUUAGUGGAUGUUGUGGGGUUGGUUUCGGAAAUAUUGUUAGGUUUUAAACAUGGUUGACAGUAUUUCCCUCUAUAGUAAUAGUUAUCCUCUUUAUUUUUCGCACUUACUUUUUAAAAAUUCCGAAGCAUUUUCAAAGAAAUAGAAAAGCCAUCCUUUGUGCUGUUUUUAAAGAGUCUAAUCGUGUUUUACUCAUUUUAAUGGUUUAGGCGUGUUGUACUUUUUAAAAUUUUUAAAAUUGUACUAAAAUGGCUUUAUGCGUAGCCAGAAUUUUUGACAUACUUUUAUUUACGACUAAAUUGUGUUAAUUAUAAAAAGUUGAUUUUUUUCUAUAUUAAACUAAUUAAAAAUUUUAAAAUGUUUAUAGUAGUGCCUAUUUACUUGAAAUGUACAUCGAAUAUCCACAGGUCAGUUUUAGUAAAAUUUAAAUAAUCCCAGUUUGUCAUUAUCCUUUACUCUCAGUUAGUAAAAGAUUUAUUUUAAAAAUUGUAUUAAAAAUACUUAUUUGAAUAACGCAAAUGUACAAUUUUUUACCUGUUUUCGUUUUUGUCUUAUAGUAUAUAAAACGGCAUAAUACAUCUAAAAAUACAUUUAAAGAUAAGUAAUUUAAAUUUUUUCAGCGGCUUAUAUUACAGUAAUGGCUUGAUAAUACAAACAUUAGUCACAAUUUUCUUUUUCAAAUGACGCAAAACGCGUUAAAAACCAAACGGAAAUCACUUAAAACAUUAGUUAAGCCGAUUGAUUAGUGUGUUUAAUUACCAUCAAAAAAAAAUCUUUAUCACAUCUGGUUUAUUAUAUAAACCGCAUUAAAUAGAAUAUCCAAACCAGUAGCACCAUUGAACCGAAAACUCUUUUUUGAUCCAACUGUCAAGAUGUUAGCACUAUAUUUCUUAUUGAUCAUGUUAUCCACAACAUGGGGCCAGGAGUCUUCAACAACUGAACCGAAUAAUGGCACCGCAUUUACCCCCAUAUCCCCAAUUAUUUGCCCAAUAAUUUGCCGUUUUACGGUGUGCCCCAGGAACGUACCUAAAUGUAACCCAGGAUCUGUUCUGGGGAGUGGCUCUUUUUGUAAUUGUUGCAAUAACGAAUGUGUCAUACCUAGAGGGGGCAAAUGCCCAUUGGAUAACUAUAGAUGUGCCUACCCCUAUGUGUGCCUUAAUAAUAAAUGUACUACGUUAUUUUAGCUGGAUGGUACCAUGCCCCUUUAAAGAUGUUUAUAAAAGGAAUACGUAUUAACAUAUCAUAAAAUAAAAGUAUUCAUUUAAA
Long non-coding RNA from Anthonomus grandis grandis, 1470 nucleotides. RefSeq lists it as uncharacterized. The transcript has 2 exons. Lineage: Eukaryota; Metazoa; Arthropoda; Insecta; Coleoptera; Curculionidae. The record is from RefSeq and is a predicted model, not a curated record.